This 97-nucleotide signal recognition particle RNA is filed under the name Inhella proteolytica. Its description in RNAcentral is "Bacterial small signal recognition particle RNA". It matches the Rfam family "Bacterial small signal recognition particle RNA". From Rfam's summary of the family: The signal recognition particle (SRP) is a universally conserved ribonucleoprotein involved in the co-translational targeting of proteins to membranes. Archaeal SRP consists of a 7S RNA and homologues of the eukaryotic SRP19 and SRP54 proteins. In most bacteria, the SRP consists of a 4.5S RNA and the Ffh protein (a homologue of the eukaryotic SRP54 protein). The record is from Rfam by way of RNAcentral. Lineage: Bacteria; Pseudomonadati; Pseudomonadota; Betaproteobacteria; Burkholderiales; Sphaerotilaceae.
GACGGGCCCCCUCGCAUGGGAGCGCGCCCAACCGGGUCAGGUGGGGAACCAAGCAGCCCUUAGCGUUGCAACCAGUGCCGAGGUAAGGCUCGUCACC